CCCAUCCAAACUUUCGGGAAGGCGAGGGAGCGCGAGAAACAAGAGUGAUGUUAGCCUCCGCCGUGUCGCCGUUCAUGUCCCUCCUCUCGCCUCCCUCCCUCUCUAACUCCAAGCUCCCGGAUUGUGCCAAGCUCCGGCCAGACGGCGCCGGACGGUUCCGCUGCUCCGCGGGGCAGACCGGGUUCUUCACUAGACUUGGCCGUCUGAUUAAAGAGAAGGCCAAGAGCGACGUAGAGAAGAUCUUCUCCGGCUUCUCCAAGACCCGCCAGAACCUCGCUGUCAUCGAUGAGCUCCUUCUCUACUGGAACCUCUCCGAAACUGACCGCGUCCUCGACGAGCUCGAAGAGGCCUUGCUGGUAUCCGAUUUCGGCCCUAAGAUUUCGAUGAAGAUUGUUGAUAGUCUGCGAGAUGAUAUAUUGGCGGGGAACCUCAAAUCUGGAAGUGAGAUAAAGGAUGCACUGAAAAAAAGUGUUCUUGAGCUGUUGAAGACCAAAGGUAGCAAGACUGAACUUCAACUGGGAUUCAGGAAGCCUGCUGUUAUUAUGGUGGUUGGUGUGAAUGGAGGUGGAAAGACGACAUCCCUUGGAAAACUUGCUCAUAGGUUGAAGAAUGAAGGGGUUAAGGUAUUAAUGGCAGCUGGUGACACGUUUAGAGCUGCAGCUAGUGAACAGCUAGAAGUAUGGGCAGAGAGAACUGGAUCAGAAAUAGUUACAGCUCAAGAUGAUAAAGUUAAAGCCUCAUCAGUUCUUUCGCAGGCUGUAAAGAAGGGGAAGGAACAAGGAUAUGACGUUGUUCUAUGUGAUACAUCUGGGCGUCUGCACACAAAUUAUAGCUUGAUGGAAGAGUUGAUUGCAUGCAAGAAAGCUGUUGCCAAAGUCGUCUCCGGGGCUCCUAAUGAGGUCCUGCUGGUUUUGGAUGGAACAACAGGCUUAAAUAUGCUUCCUCAAGCAAGAGAAUUUAAUGAGGUGGUUGGAAUCACGGGCUAUAUUUUGACAAAGCUUGAUGGUUCUGCUCGAGGUGGCUGCGUGGUCAGUGUUGUUGAUGAGAUUGGCAUCCCUGUAAAAUUUGUGGGUGUUGGCGAAGGGGUGGAUGACCUACAACCUUUUGAUGCUGAGGGCCUUUUGUCGAUGCUAUUUUCUCUUGAGCUAUCAGAAAGACAUGGACUGCUUGAGCCAAUUCCUAUAAACGCUCAUAACUUUUGCCUACCACCUACCUUUGGAAAGAAUGAUUUUGCACAUAUUUGCAAGGCAACAGCAAUGGAGACACAUAAGUGAAAUAUUGGUUAUCAUUUUGCUGUUUGAAUUGACGCCAGUUUACAAAGUGAAGAUCAAGCACCCAAGAAGUAUACUUCAAGCUGAAUUAUAAACAGCUCCAGAGGCAAAGAAAGCGAAGCUUGACGAUCCUAUGACUAAGAUCAAGAGAAGUCUGGACUUCAUUGUCACCAGAGACUCGGCGGUGGAUGCCCCUCUGUCACGUCCUCCUUCCCCUGGCGAGGAGUAGUGUCCUAUUUUUUCUUUGUUCUCUAAAGGAUCUCGGGGUCCUUUAGCUGUUCUUUUUCUUUUUCUCCUACUGUUGGGCUGCUGGUUUUGUUUUCCCACUUCUGGUGGAUCUUUUGUUGAACCUGGCCUUUUUGUACUACUGUCUUUUUAUAA
This is an RNA transcript of Dioscorea cayenensis subsp. rotundata (Guinea yam), 1652 nucleotides long. It is a transcript of the gene named cell division protein FtsY homolog, chloroplastic-like, with no coding region annotated. NCBI's taxonomy places the organism in Eukaryota, Viridiplantae, Streptophyta, Magnoliopsida, Dioscoreales, Dioscoreaceae. The transcript has 14 exons. The record is from RefSeq and is a predicted model, not a curated record.